Molecule: ribosomal RNA, 497 nt
Filed under: uncultured bacterium
Lineage: Bacteria
Description: partial 16S ribosomal RNA
Rfam family: Bacterial small subunit ribosomal RNA
Source: RNAcentral
GAUGAACGCUGGCGGCGUGCCUAAUACAUGCAAGUCGAGCGAACAGAUGAGGAGCUUGCUCCUCUGACGUUAGCGGCGGACGGGUGAGUAACACGUGGAUAACCUACCUAUAAGACUGGGAUAACUUCGGGAAACCGGAGCUAAUACCGGAUAAUAUAUUGAACCGCAUGGUUCAAUAGUGAAAGACGGUUUUGCUGUCACUUAUAGAUGGAUCCGCGCCGCAUUAGCUAGUUGGUAAGGUAACGGCUUAUCAAGGCAACGAUGCGUAGCCGACCUGAGAGAGUGAUCGGCCACACUGGAACUGGGACACGGUCCAGACUCCUACGGGAGGCAGCAGUAGGGAAUCUUCCGCAAUGGGCGAAAGCCUGACGGAGCAACGCCGCGUGAGUGAUGAAGGUCUUCGGAUCGUAAAACUCUGUUAUUAGGGAAGAACAAAUGUGUAAGUAACUAUGCACGUCUUGACGGUACCUAAUCAGAAAGCCACGGCUAACUACGUG